UGGGGAAUAUUGGACAAUGGGGGCAACCCUGAUCCAGCCAUGCCGCGUGAAUGAUGAAGGCCUUAGGGUUGUAAAGUUCUUUCGCACACGACGAUGAUGACGGUAGUGUGAGAAGAAGCCCCGGCUAACUUCGUGCCAGCAGCCGCGGUAAUACGAAGGGGGCUAGCGUUGUUCGGAAUUACUGGGCGUAAAGCGCACGCAGGCGGUCUAGAUAGUCAGAAGUGAAAGCCCCGGGCUCAACCUGGGAAUUGCUUUUGAUACUGCUAGGCUUGAAUCAUGGAGAGGGUAACGGAAUUCCGAGUGUAGAGGUGAAAUUCGUAGAUAUUCGGAAGAACACCAGCGGCGAAGGCGGUUACCUGGCCAUGUAUUGACGCUCAUGUGCGAAAGCGUGGGGAGCAAA
RNAcentral lists this ribosomal RNA (400 nucleotides) under uncultured bacterium. RNAcentral describes it as "bacterial SSU rRNA". It matches the Rfam family "Bacterial small subunit ribosomal RNA", at positions 355 to 772 of the family's 1533-position model. The record is from RNAcentral.